UGGUCAAGUUAUUAAGGGUGCAGGGCGGAUGCCUUGGCACUAGGAGCCGAUGAAGGACGUGAUAAGCUGCGAUAAGCUUCGGGGAGUUGCACGUAAACUUUGAUCCGAAGAUUUCCGAAUGAGGAAACUCACUUAGAGUAAUGUCUAAGUAUCAUUAAGUGAAUACAUAGCUUAAUGAGGGGAACUCAGGGAACUGAAACAUCUAAGUACCUGAAGGAAGAGAAAGAAAUUCGAUUCCGUAAGUAGCGGCGAGCGAACGCGGAUUAGCCCAAACCAAUAAAGUUUUCUUUAUUGGGGUUGCGGACAUAUCAUAACGAAGAGGUAUCGUAAUUGAAGAGG
RNAcentral lists this ribosomal RNA (339 nucleotides) under Clostridioides difficile. RNAcentral's name for it is "partial 23S ribosomal RNA". It matches the Rfam family "Bacterial large subunit ribosomal RNA", at positions 1 to 341 of the family's 2925-position model. Lineage: Bacteria; Bacillati; Bacillota; Clostridia; Peptostreptococcales; Peptostreptococcaceae. The record is from RNAcentral.